This 403-nucleotide ribosomal RNA is filed under the name Verrucomicrobiota bacterium. RNAcentral's name for it is "Verrucomicrobia bacterium partial 16S ribosomal RNA". It matches the Rfam family "Bacterial small subunit ribosomal RNA", at positions 355 to 776 of the family's 1533-position model. Lineage: Bacteria; Pseudomonadati; Verrucomicrobiota. The record is from RNAcentral.
UGGGGAAUAUUGCACAAUGGGCGCAAGCCGGAUGCAGCAACGCCGCGGGAACGAUGAAGGGCUUCGGAUCGUAAAGUUCUGUUGCAGGGGAAGAUAAUGACGGUACCCUGUGAGGAAGCCCCGGCGAACUACGUGCCAGCAGCCGCGGGAAUACGUAGGGGGCUAGCGUUAUCCGGAUUUACUGGGCGUAAAGGGUGCGUAGGUGGUCUUUCAAGUCGGUGGUUAAAGGCUACGGCUCAACCGUAGUUAGCCUCCGAAACUGGAAGACUUGAGUGCAGGAGAGGAAAGUGGAAUUCCCAGUGUAGCGGUGAAAUGCGUAGAUAUUCGGAGGAACACCAGUAGCGAAGGCGGCUUUCUGGACUGCAACUGACACUGAGGCACGAAAGCGUGGGUAGCAAACAGG